CUUUUCUUUAUUUGUCUUUUAAAGGUCUCCAAGUUCCAAUGGGACUUCUAAUUUCAAUCGACCUUACUUUUUCUUUAUGUGAGUAGACUCUCACGUGAUGAACAUGACUAUUUCUUUGUUCCUCUUUUUCCUGGAACGUCUUCGAAGAAUGGAGCAGCAGCAACGUGUCAAAUUCUGAGUCAUGUUCAACUUUUGCCGACAAGUUUAUGCAUAUUUGGUGAUCUCAUGAAGGACGGGUUUUUGAGGACAGUCUCCAUACUUCUUGUUCUCAGAGCCAAAAAUUAAUAAACUCCUAUAUGAAUAAAACAAAUGGAAAAGCCAUUGAUUUUCUUCCUUUGCAUUUAAUCUCCAUGUGGAGCAACAUUUCUAUUUUAUUUGGGGAGUAUUUUAUCCGUAGUAGCACUCCACCUUUUCUCUUCCUUGCUGGAUGCUUUGUCUUCUAACUCAAUCUUCUGUGAACACAGAUAGCAUCUACAUCGUCUUCUUUUCCUAAUAACUUAAACAGCAGCCCGCACAAUUUUUUUUGGUGUUCUAUGUCGGCAGUACAUCCUUCCCUUACAAUUUUUCCUUGACUUCAAGACAAUGACGGCGGCGGUCGGGUUGCUCCUUUGUAGAGUUUCAGUGGCAAGUGAACUGAGGUGACACAAAUAAUGGAGACGGGUGUUCUACUUUGCUUUUGCUGCACCAUUUUCCUUUGUUUGAAUUUGAUGAAAACUCUCCAAGCAUCUUCAGUUUCUCUUUAAUAGGCAGGGAUCACUUCUUAUUCUUCCACGCCAAGCUGUUACAAUUACCGGGAGAGACCGUGACAAUCUGAUUUUGGAGGGCAUCAGUUGAAGGGUGUUGAUGACGAAGCGAUGGAAACAUUAUGUCUGUCCACUAUCUUAUAACCAUCAUCCGUGACUUGGUGUCCAGAACUUUUGAAGUUGUCCCUUGGUUACUUUUUACGAACCAGGACUGCACGUUUUUGUCUACUCGGAGUGCGGAUAGCACUGCCCUUGGGCUUUUUCCGAAUGACUGCCGGAAACAACGCUUGAAGAGCGGUGGUGUUGCGGUUUGGAUGAUUGCUUGGUUCACCGUCCUCGGGGCCCUUGGGCUUCUUCCGAAGGACGGCUGAAGACAACGGUUGAAGAGCGGUGGUGUUGCGGUUUGGUUGCUGCAUCAACACCUGCUGCCAUCGGUUGAGCAGGGAAGAGAAAUUUCCCAAGUUUUCUUCAUAGGUCUCGGUGAAUAACCAGAGAGAGCGAGAGAAAGGAUCUGGGGUUGCUUAUUUAGAGUCUCUACCUUCAUUUUUUUUGCUCUGGGGAAUGGGACAGUUUGAAGAAGCAAAGUGCUUCUUUUCUUCCUACAAAGCAAAGAAGAGAACCAACCCAGAAAAAAAAUUAAAAAAGAAUGAAACGGCUUAUACCUUCAAAUGCCGUGUAGUUUCUCCUGCUCUUUGUUCUUGCGUGUAGAUCUUGAUUUCUUCUUCUCCUUUCUUUUCCUUUGUUGUGCCUUUGCUCUCUUGCUUUGCCUCUCUAUUGUCUUCUCUGUGCUUUUCAAUUUCUGCAGCGUCUCCUCUCUUGUUUCCCCUGUCUUUUUUCUGUCUGUCCCUUUUUUUGUUGUUGCAGGUGAUGCCUAUUUAUAGGCAUCAUAGGAGAGUUCUAGAGCUUGUUACGUGGGGGGAGAGGUAGAGGCCAUGACCUCCUGCCACUUUCUGUUAACCACCAUUUCUGACUCCACGUUCCUUUUUGUUUGCAGAAAAUGGGGAGCACCUGUAUUUUUUUGCUUUUGUGUACGUUACUUCCCCCCUUUUGUAGGAGAAAAUAAAUUUUUUAUUUAUUUCUGAAUGUUUUUUGUGGGUAAAGCCCAUCCUCAUCCUUUGGGCUUGGAUUACACCUUGUAGUUUGACCCAAUUUGUAUGGACUCUAUUUUUUCAUA
Long non-coding RNA from Malus domestica (apple), 1917 nucleotides. RefSeq lists it as uncharacterized. Lineage: Eukaryota; Viridiplantae; Streptophyta; Magnoliopsida; Rosales; Rosaceae. The record is from RefSeq and is a predicted model, not a curated record.